Non-coding RNA from Acanthosepion pharaonis, 111 nucleotides. The record is from the annotation of a GenBank genome assembly. NCBI's taxonomy places the organism in Eukaryota, Metazoa, Mollusca, Cephalopoda, Sepiida, Sepiidae.
UACGGCAAUUUCACGUUGAAACACCGAUCUCGUCCGAUCAGCGAAGUUAAGCAAAGUCGAGUCUAAUCAGAACCUAGAUGGGUGACCGGUUGGGAAUAUCAGAUGCUGUAA